CGGAAUGUAGCUUAUAUUAAAGCUAUUUAUUUACAUUAAAUUGAAAAUUUUUUUUUGAUUCUUUUCGA
Molecule: transfer RNA, 68 nt
Filed under: Empoascanara quarta
Lineage: Eukaryota; Metazoa; Arthropoda; Insecta; Hemiptera; Cicadellidae
Description: tRNA-Val
Source: RNAcentral